Sapajus apella (tufted capuchin) is the source of this 103-nucleotide small nuclear RNA. The record is from RefSeq and is a predicted model, not a curated record. NCBI's taxonomy places the organism in Eukaryota, Metazoa, Chordata, Mammalia, Primates, Cebidae.
GUGCUCGCUUCGGCAGCACAUAUACUAAAAUUGGAACGAUACAGAGAAGAUUAGCAUGGCCUCUGCAAUCGUUCUACUAUAAGGACACGUGCACACGAAUGUU